ACGGAAGGCAGCAGUGAGGAAUAUUGGUCAAUGGGCGUGAGCCUGAACCAGCCAAGUAGCGUGAGGGAUGACUGCCCUAUGGGUUGUAAACCUCUUUUGUUUGGGAAUAAAGUCAGGGACGCGUCCCUGUUUGUAUGUACCUUUCGAAUAAGCAUCGGCUAAUUCCGUGCCAGCAGCCGCGGUAAUACGGAAGAUGCGAGCGUUAUCCGGAUUUAUUGGGUUUAAAGGGAGCGUAGGCGGACUGUUAGGUCUGUGGUCAAAUGUCAGGGCCCAACCUUGGCAUGCCAUGGAUACUGGAGGGCUUGAAUACACACAAGGAAGGUGGAAUUCGUCGUGUAGCGGUGAAAUGCUUAGAUAUGACGAAGAACUCCAAUUGCAAAGGCAGCCUUCUGGAGUGCGAUUGACGCUGAGGCUCGAAAGCGCGGGUAUCAAACAGGAUUAGAUACCCUGGUA
RNAcentral lists this ribosomal RNA (453 nucleotides) under uncultured Paraprevotella sp. Its description in RNAcentral is "bacterial SSU rRNA". It matches the Rfam family "Bacterial small subunit ribosomal RNA", at positions 341 to 792 of the family's 1533-position model. Lineage: Bacteria; Pseudomonadati; Bacteroidota; Bacteroidia; Bacteroidales; Prevotellaceae. The record is from RNAcentral.